AGUUACCAGGCCUGGUUCAAGCCCUGUAUCCCACCCUCAACGGGAAGCCAACAGAAGUGACCUCAAAUGAAAAUCCUGUGAAAGAAUAGUAAAGAAAAAGGACGUAGGGCCAUCUCAAGAGGGCUGAUUUGGAAUCAAAGAAUUAAGAGAAGGAAGGCAGUACGUUUGGAUCUGGAAUGUCCUCAGAGCCUAUAUGUGAAAGGCUGAGUCCCCAGCCUGGAGCUAUUAGGACACAGAAAAUGACAGUCCAAUAUAAUCUUGGUGUGAAGAACUUCAGUUCUGUUUUGAUUUGUGCUGAACACACAUUUCCUCACUGGAGUCUGCCUUCUAAAGAAUGUCUCCAAUGCAUUGAAGACUUGAUUCUACUACUGAGAUAUGUUCUCCUCAUGUUUGACACUCUACUCAUUUUCUCUUCCAUGCCUGGAAAAUGGAAUCAACACAGAUGCCUAUCAAUUG
RNAcentral lists this long non-coding RNA (456 nucleotides) under Mus spicilegus (steppe mouse). RNAcentral's name for it is "lncRNA (ENSMSIG00000025495.1)". The record is from RNAcentral. Lineage: Eukaryota; Metazoa; Chordata; Mammalia; Rodentia; Muridae.